AGAAGGGAUCAUUAAAACAAAAGUCUUGAGAUGUGCCUUGAAGAAGGGAAGAGAUGGACAGUCACGAAGAGGUUGGGGGAGGGAGUUCCAGAGUUUGGGGGCCAAGGCACUGAAGGACCUGCCACCCAGGGUGGAGAGUCUG
Long non-coding RNA from Alosa sapidissima (American shad), 142 nucleotides. RefSeq lists it as uncharacterized. The transcript is spliced from 4 exons. Lineage: Eukaryota; Metazoa; Chordata; Actinopteri; Clupeiformes; Clupeidae. The record is from RefSeq and is a predicted model, not a curated record.